Molecule: long non-coding RNA, 1546 nt
Organism: Triticum dicoccoides
Lineage: Eukaryota; Viridiplantae; Streptophyta; Magnoliopsida; Poales; Poaceae
Exons: 5
Source: RefSeq, a predicted model, not a curated record
UGCCCUCCCAACCGCCCCGCCCUAUCGCCUCCACGCGAGCCCAUCGCCGCCGCACUCUCGUGACUCCCCCAUGCGAGCCCAACUCCGCUGCCCUCCUGUGCCGCCCCGACACUUGCCACCGAUGGGGCGGCUGCGCGCGUGCCGCCACCAUCUCCGCCGCCUCCGCGAGACGAGGCCGCCACCAUAAGCUCCAGUCCGGCGCACUUCCCCGCCCGUGUAGGUACUCUUUCAUCGGCCGUGGUGGUCGCUGCCGCCGCGCUCCAUCUACUGCCCUGCAUCCGGGCGGCGGCAGAAGCUGCCCCGGCCUCCACGCCUCCACAGGAGGAGGAGGAAGAAGGCUUGGUACGCUACAUCCCUGUCAAGGCCCUACUUCCUCUCCACCAAUUGAGUUAAAACAUGAUUGGAGUACCUAUACAUACAAGUUACAAUGGGCCUGACGGGGUAAAGGGGUCUUCCGUUGAUGUUUUCAAAUCUGCAACAAGCUUGUUGUCUUACCCCCCGUGAGAUGCAGUUUAAUGACCUUGUACAAAGGUGUCCCAAAAUGUGAGUAACAUCUCCAUAUCAUUGAGUCUGAAAAACUACUGCACCAUCUUUAUUAGGAUUUUAUUAAUUUUAUUCAUCAGUGAUACAGGUAUAUAUAGAUGCUCUGUUCUGCCCUCAACUUUUGCUUCUUUUUGCUUUUUAGUUGGUUAUCAUCUGGCAAAGUAUGCUUAUUUAUUUGGCUUGCAGCCAAUAUUCUAUUGCUGAUAUACAUUUUCCAGGUAUAUUUGGUUGUAAUCUUUUAUCUGCUUCUUCUCUAAACUGAUAAUGAUAAGUUAUGUUCGCCGCACUUCUGCCGCCACCGUCAACGCCGUUUCAAUGACGGCGGCCUUGGCGCCGGAGUGUGGGAGCUACUUCUCAGCCUUGCUGGGGUCGACGGCGGCGACCCAAUCAUUAACUUUUGGUGCGUUCAUUUGUAUCAAGUGUUCUGGAGCUCAUACAAGCCUGGGGGUGCACAUUUCCAAGGUGAAAAUGGUGCAGAACACACUAGAUAUGAGGCAUUUCUUGGAAAUUACACAAAGCCUUUACAAGAUUGCUCAGCGGAUGACCGAAAUGAUUUUAUAAGAGGGAGUUGCUUAUACUCCUACAAAGACCAGAACGGUGGUGGUUGUGCUGGUGAGGGAUGCAAUGUGAUAAAAAGUGGAGAUGCAUGUGUUGUUUUGCGGUGUGUCCUUUGUUUGGGAAAUCAACAUUGUUGAACAGGUUGCCAGGAACUUAUUCAAAGGAUUGCAGUAGUUGGGAUCACAGAGCGAGCUUUGUCGGGCCAAAGGGAGAUCGGAAACGUGACCAGGGUCCUGGUAUGAUGUGCUCGUAAUAAGAAGAUAAUGACAUGUGGCGAGGAACAGUUUGACGGUGUUAAGGGAGUAAUUAACUAGGCAUAAUAGUAUAAUACUGCAGGUGUGCAGCUAAGACCAUUUUUGUCUAAUCUAACAUAAAUCCUUAGCAACUGGAUCUGGUCACUAUGGAUGGAGAAAAUUGAUUGUAUUAAAAGUGGUGGUGCUUUUUA